CCGGGAAGGUGAGAGACAGCGAUGCUCUCUCCUGUGGCCUGGAGCAAAAACCUUUGUCCCGCAGGUUUAACUAACAGAUUCCCCCGGCUGAACCCCUGGGCCGGGCCGAAUUUAGCAGCAGAAGAGAUAACCGGGAGAUAAGGGCUGAUACCCUGGGAGGACAGCGGGAGACGGGCAGGCGGCCGAGGAAAGGGAGAGAAGCCGGAGGCAGCGUUGGGAAGGGCUGCCUAUCCAGAUGUGCCGGGUUUUGGAGACGCAUCUUUCCCUCCUUUGCAAAAUCCCUGACGAUUUUCUCUCCCAAAGCAGCGAUUUGCUGAAGAUUCGUUGAAUUUCUACAGGAUAGCAGCGCUUUCCUUAAA
Molecule: long non-coding RNA, 359 nt
Organism: Myiozetetes cayanensis
Lineage: Eukaryota; Metazoa; Chordata; Aves; Passeriformes; Tyrannidae
Exons: 3
Source: RefSeq, a predicted model, not a curated record